Molecule: transfer RNA, 82 nt
Filed under: Coemansia spiralis
Lineage: Eukaryota; Fungi; Kickxellomycota; Kickxellomycetes; Kickxellales; Kickxellaceae
Description: tRNA-Ser
Rfam family: tRNA
About the family: Transfer RNA (tRNA) molecules are approximately 80 nucleotides in length. Their secondary structure includes four short double-helical elements and three loops (D, anti-codon, and T loops).
Source: RNAcentral
GUCAGUUUGGCCGAGUGUUAAAUUCGACAGACACGAAAUCUGUUGGGAGAUUCCCGCACAGGUUCAAAUCCUGUAGCUGACG